RNAcentral lists this ribosomal RNA (248 nucleotides) under uncultured Oscillospiraceae bacterium. RNAcentral's name for it is "partial 16S ribosomal RNA". It matches the Rfam family "Bacterial small subunit ribosomal RNA", at positions 524 to 772 of the family's 1533-position model. Lineage: Bacteria; Bacillati; Bacillota; Clostridia; Eubacteriales; Oscillospiraceae. The record is from RNAcentral.
UACGUAGGGAGCGAGCGUUGUCCGGAAUUACUGGGUGUAAAGGGAGCGUAGGCGGGACUGCAAGUUGGGUGUCAAAUCUACCGGCUCAACCGGUAGCCGCACUCAAAACUGCAGUUCUUGAGUGAAGUAGAGGCAGGCGGAAUUCCUAGUGUAGCGGUGAAAUGCGUAGAUAUUAGGAGGAACACCAGUGGCGAAGGCGGCCUGCUGGGCUUUUACUGACGCUGAGGCUCGAAAGUGUGGGGAGCAAA